GACGAACGCUGGCGGCGCGCUUAACACAUGCAAGUCGAACGGAAAGGCCUGCUUUCCCUUGUGGAUUGCGGGUACUCGAGUGGCGAACGGGUGAGUAACACGUGAGUGAUCUGCCCCCAACUUGGGUAUAAGCCUGGGAAACUGGGUCUAAUUCCCGAUAGGACUGCAGGGUGGUGCCUGUGGUGGAACACGAUUUUCUAGUGGUUGGGGAUGAGCUCGCGGCCUAUCAGCUUGUUGGUGGGGUAAUGGCCUACCAAGGCGGCGACGGGUAGCCGGCCUGAGAGGGUGGACGGCCACAUUGGGACUGAGAUACGGCCCAGACUCCUACGGGAGGCAGCAGUGGGGAAUAUUGCACAAUGGGCGGAAGCCUGAUGCAGCGACGCCGCGUGGGGGAUGACGGCCUUCGGGUGGUAAACUCCUUUCGACCGCGAGGAAGCCACCUGGUUGGAAGGGUGGUGACGGUAGUGGUAGAAGAAGCACCGGCUAACUACGUG
RNAcentral lists this ribosomal RNA (494 nucleotides) under uncultured bacterium. RNAcentral's name for it is "partial 16S ribosomal RNA". It matches the Rfam family "Bacterial small subunit ribosomal RNA", at positions 28 to 507 of the family's 1533-position model. The record is from RNAcentral.